GUCAGUCUCCAUGAAAGGCAGCAGUGGUGGAAAAUCAGACCAUGAAAAAGGAUUUAUGUUCAUCCUAUGAGUUUUACCAAGUCCUUGGCCUUUGAGCUUUGAGCAGGAGAAUUACAGGGCCUGAUCGACAUGAGGACAACUCUGGACAUGAGAAUAAGAAGGAAAUCAGCAGUGGGAAGGCAAUGGGAAAGAUCCAGAUUCCAGCAGAAUAUCAAAUGAGCAGAGCGAAAUAUCUGUUACAUACCACUCACUCCACUGACCUCAGUGAAACAUUUGUUUCACUAUCCAGAUGGAACAAUUGAAAUGUCUGCAUUAUUAAGAAGCAGUCAGGAUUCAUUAAGUUUCCAUUUGGCCUCGCCCCAGCCUCUCUUGUACUGCCUUUGGCCAAUAACCAUUCAUCAAGCAUUUGUUUGCCAUGAGCCUAUGAGACAGGAUCGUCUGCCCAAGUGGAAUCAGAAGCAUUUCACCUAAGAAUUGGGAAGAAUUUCAUGUCUGCUUGAAAAUAUGCUUUUCCAGGGCAGUUUUCCCUGCUCAUCUAUAAUUAUGGAAUUGAACAAUGCUGAUCUCUGACUCUGUCAAGCCAUGCUUCUAGGUAAAGGAGCUUGGUCACACUCAUUUGGUUACUGAUACAGAAACUCAAAUCUGGAAGCAACUGUGCUGGAAAAGGGUAGUGCGAGAAAGGGUCUUUGCAGAUGCAAUUCAUUAAGAUAAGAUGAAGUCAUGCUGGAUUCGGGUGGGCCUAAUAACCAGUGCCCUUAUGAGAAGAGGACAGGAUCCACAGAGAAUACCUAGAGCAGAAGGCCAUCUAAAGGCAGAAGCAGAGACUGGAGUAAUACACCCACCAGGGAAGGUAGGUUUGCCAGAGAAAAUCGCAUGCCGAGCUCACCUUGUCCGUGGACCAGCACACAAGCCAUGCCUGGACACCUCCCUCCACCAAGGCUGCCAGUCAGGGGAUUUCAGGUGGUUUCUUCAAUCGGAGUCUUGGCAGUUCUACACCUGUCCUCACUCCACAUGGGAUAUACGUGUAGAGACUACAUCGUGCUUUAACCUUGAGCGCUACUUCUUAAACCAAAACUUCUACUCAGCAGGGGGAAGAAAAAUGGACCAUGUUAUAACAAAUAACAUGGCGGUGAACUCUGUGGAUGGUGGAGUUGUUCUGUGUGCUCCAGUUCCUACCGAGAUUGUGCCUAACUCAUCAUGAAUCUCAGCAGCAGCAGCAUGGACACCAUCACCAGCAGAAGCGUUUGCAAGUAUCCAAUUAUGGGUUAGAGACUCUGCAAGGAAAUUACAUUCACCCAGCACCUGGCCAGAACCUAAGACUUGUUUCAGCACUUCUUGCAAUUAGCAGAGGGCAGUUGCCUCCGUGGUGUGUAGCCAGUUGGGGUGAUGAGCAAUUCUCCCCACAAAAGCCUCAUGAGACAUCUGGUGACUGAGUUCGCAAUGGCACUGCCUCAGUGUGUGUGCCCAUAAAAAGGCAAGCUGACAGUACCCGUCUAGGACAGGGUUCACCAGGCUUGUCUGUGCCUGCCUCUGCUAAGAUGCUCUCAAGGGACUGCUAGAUUCCCACCCUCUUUAUUUAACAGUUCUUCCAACAGAGAGGCAGAACCUACUUCAUUCAGCUGCUUUCCUCUCUCCCCAGUUUCAGAAUUACUAUAAUUGCCCAUUGCAGUUGUUCGGCAUUCAUGUCAAUUUCAGUACAAGCUGGAGAAUUCAGGAGAAGUUGUAAGGUGUGAGGGUUGGGAGUUGCAUCCACUUGUCAGGGAAAUUGCGAUGUCCGAGGCAGGUCUGAGGCCUUUGCUACUUGGAUCGCUCCAGCAGAAUGCAUUGAGGGAGGUCUCCAGGAAGAAAUGUCCCUCCAUGGCCAAUUGCAUGCCGCAUUGGGGAGGGAGGUGUCAAACAAUGGUAAAGUGGAUAGAUAGUAAAGUGUCUUUUACCAUCUCUUAUAAAGACAAGUGACACUCUGAGAUAAAAAGCCACAAGGCCUCUUCUAAAGUUUAUAUUUACAGAGGCUCUGUGACUGCAUGGCCACUUUUCUCAGCAGCUAUAGCAGGUCUUGGAAUAACAUUGCUUCAUUCAACAUCACUUUAUUAUAAUGUUGAUGAGAAAAAAUAUCGAUUCUCAGCUAAGGCCACUAUCUGUGUGGAGUUGUCAUGUUCUCCUCAUGUCUGUGUGGGUUUCCUGCCACAUCCCAAAGCUGUGCCCAUCUAGUGAAACAGAAUAUCACCUGGUCCCAGUGUGAGUGAAUGUGUGUGUGUGUGUGUGUGUGUGUGUGCGCGCGCAUGUGCGUGUGCCAUGGGAUGGGAUGGUGUCCUGUCCAGGGUGGGCUCCUGCCUGGCACCCGAGCUGCUGGGAUAGGCUCUG
Molecule: long non-coding RNA, 2361 nt
Filed under: Homo sapiens (human)
Lineage: Eukaryota; Metazoa; Chordata; Mammalia; Primates; Hominidae
Description: HSALNT0304558
Source: RNAcentral